CCUACGGGGGGCAGCAAUUAGGAAUCUUGCGCAAUGGGGGCAACCCUGACGCAGCGACGUCGCGUGGAGGAUGAAAUCUUUCGGGAUGUAAACUCCUUUUACCAGGGAGACGGUACCUGGUGAAUAAGCCCCGGCUAACUACGUGCCAGCAGCCGCGGUAAUACGUAGGGGGCGAGCGUUGUCCGAAGUUACUGGGCGUAAAGCGCGUUAGGCGGGUCUUUAAGUGAGGGGUGAAAGGUUUGGGCUUAACCCAGACACUGCCUUUCAUACUGGAGACCUUGAGUGCGGGAGAGGCGAGUGGAAUGGUCGGUGUAGCGGUGAAAUGCGUAGAUAUCGAUCGGAACACCCAUGGCGAAGGCAGCUCGCUGGCCUGUACUGACGCUGACGCGAAAGCGUGGGGAGCAAACAGGAUUAGAUACCCUUGUAGUC
Molecule: ribosomal RNA, 429 nt
Filed under: uncultured bacterium
Lineage: Bacteria
Description: partial 16S ribosomal RNA
Rfam family: Bacterial small subunit ribosomal RNA
Source: RNAcentral